This 234-nucleotide long non-coding RNA is filed under the name Ictidomys tridecemlineatus (thirteen-lined ground squirrel). RNAcentral describes it as "lncRNA (ENSSTOG00000033758.1)". Lineage: Eukaryota; Metazoa; Chordata; Mammalia; Rodentia; Sciuridae. The record is from RNAcentral.
CCGACCCAUAGAUGGCCAGUUUUCUGAGAGAAUGCUGGAUGCUGUCAUUGAUGGUACCCCUUGCUUUGAAGGUGGCAACAGCAGAAAUGUCUGUAUUAAUGGCAUAUGUAAGAUGGUUGGCUGUGACUACGAGAUCGAUUCCAAUGCCACGGAGGAUCGCUGUGGUGUUUGUCUGGGAGACGGCUCUGCCUGCCAGACUGUAAGGAAGAUGUUCAAGCAGAAAGAAGGAUCUGG